CUGCUCAACACUAAGAAACUAAGAAAUAAUAGAGUUAAUUCAUGAAAUACAUGGGAAAACAUAUCGAUUUGUAAAAGGAAAGUAAAUGGGAGUGUUUCAAUGCGAAAUAUUUGGGAAGUAUUUCGUUCUGUAAUAAGGAAAUGCUUUCUACUGUCAUAUAUGGGAUGCGAAGACAAUGGGGUUGGCCUAGGCCAAUGCCUUGUCAACGGCUGUGGUUGCGGUUGCGGUCUGAGGCUGUUGCCGGUGAGCGCGAUAUGCCAAACGCCAGGUAAUUUGAUGCCCCACUGCCCCAAGGAGCAAGGCAUGGAAAUAAACCAAGCAGAGACUCUUGAACUAAGAUUAUGCUUGGCCGAAAGCCGGACCAAAUUGACAGCAGACUUGGGAAAGGCGCGGGCAUAUGUAAAUGUCAAAUAAAUUCUUUUGAAAUGUCAUAAACCGGCGA
Long non-coding RNA from Drosophila nasuta, 442 nucleotides. RefSeq lists it as uncharacterized. Lineage: Eukaryota; Metazoa; Arthropoda; Insecta; Diptera; Drosophilidae. The transcript is spliced from 3 exons. The record is from RefSeq and is a predicted model, not a curated record.